RNAcentral lists this ribosomal RNA (484 nucleotides) under uncultured bacterium. Its description in RNAcentral is "partial 16S ribosomal RNA". It matches the Rfam family "Bacterial small subunit ribosomal RNA", at positions 30 to 507 of the family's 1533-position model. The record is from RNAcentral.
UUUGAACGCUGGCGGCAUGCCUUACACAUGCAAGUCGAACGGCAGCACGGACUUCGGUCUGGUGGCGAGUGGCGAACGGGUGAGUAAUGUAUCGGAACGUACCUUUCAGUGGGGGAUAACGUAGCGAAAGUUACGCUAAUACCGCAUAUUCUGUGAGCAGGAAAGCAGGGGAUCGAAAGACCUUGCGCUGAUUGAGCGGCCGAUAUCAGAUUAGCUAGUUGGUGGGGUAAAGGCCUACCAAGGCGACGAUCUGUAGCGGGUCUGAGAGGAUGAUCCGCCACACUGGAACUGAGACACGGUCCAGACUCCUACGGGAGGCAGCAGUGGGGAAUUUUGGACAAUGGGGGCAACCCUGAUCCAGCCAUGCCGCGUGAGUGAAGAAGGCCUUCGGGUUGUAAAGCUCUUUCGGCCGGGAAGAAAUCGCAUAGGCUAAUACCCUGUGUGGAUGACGGUACCGGAAUAAGAAGCACCGGCUAACUACGUG